This 491-nucleotide ribosomal RNA is filed under the name uncultured bacterium. Its description in RNAcentral is "partial 16S ribosomal RNA". It matches the Rfam family "Bacterial small subunit ribosomal RNA", at positions 29 to 506 of the family's 1533-position model. The record is from RNAcentral.
AGUGAACGCUGGCGGUAGGCCUAACACAUGCAAGUCGAACGGCAGCACAGUAAGAGCUUGCUCUUACGGGUGGCGAGUGGCGGACGGGUGAGGAAUACAUCGGAAUCUACUUUUUCGUGGGGGAUAACGUAGGGAAACUUACGCUAAUACCGCAUACGACCUACGGGUGAAAGCAGGGGAUCUUCGGACCUUGCGCGAUUGAAUGAGCCGAUGUCGGAUUAGCUAGUUGGCGGGGUAAAGGCCCACCAAGGCGACGAUCCGUAGCUGGUCUGAGAGGAUGAUCAGCCAAAUUGGAACGAAGAACCGGCCAAGACCCCUAGGGGAGGCCGCAGUGGGGAAUAUUGGACAAUGGGCGAAAGCCUGAUCCAGCCAUACCGGGGGGGUGAAGAAGGCCUUCGGGUGGUAAAGCCCUUUUGUUGGGAAAAAAAAGCAGCAGGUUAAUACCCCGCUGUUCUGACGGUACCCAAAGAAUAAGCACCGGCUAACUUCGU